Molecule: transfer RNA, 74 nt
Filed under: Bacteroidota bacterium
Lineage: Bacteria; Pseudomonadati; Bacteroidota
Description: Bacteroidetes bacterium (mine drainage metagenome) tRNA-Ile
Rfam family: tRNA
About the family: Transfer RNA (tRNA) molecules are approximately 80 nucleotides in length. Their secondary structure includes four short double-helical elements and three loops (D, anti-codon, and T loops).
Source: RNAcentral
GUUCUUAUAGCUCAAUUGGUCAGAGCGUUGGUCUUAUGAGCCAAAGGUUGAGAGUUCAAGCCUCUCUAAGAACA